GUAAUAUGCAUUAUUAUAUAUAAAACACUAUAUGAUUGCAUGUUCUGCAUGUGUCCAUUCUGUAUAUAUGAUUACUGUAAUUAAUCUGUAGGGUAGAUUCUGUAUAUAUGAUUUCUGUAAAAGCAAUUAUUAACAUUAUCUUUAUUAUUAGAAUCCAUUCUGUGCCACUGAUGCUGAGGUUAAUAGAGAGGUAGUGAGAAUAACAUAGAACUUCUGAGUCUUGUUGAUACUAGGACUAGAAAUAGAUCUGAUUGUGUGUGUGUUUGUGUGUCUGCGUGCUCACACACAUGUACACAUCGGUAGGUAAUAAAUCUGGCUUUGAGCACAAAAUCACAGACAGAACUGAUAGGAAUACUGCAGGCCAUCUGAUCCAAUUGCUCGUUUUGUUGAUGAGGAAAGCGAUGUCGGUGCUUCAUCGAGCAACCUAAGGUCCCACUAUUGCUGGCAGUUCUCCUGUCUCCUCCCUUCUUGAAUUUGGGCAUAAUCCAGUGACGAUGGUUAGCAAAGAGAUGAGGGAGUGGUCCUUGGGGAGGCUCCUCCACUGGAAGAUUCGGCUAUUCUUCCUUUACUUGAGUCUAGUGCCAUGCUUCUCUCCUGCCCUUCCCUGCUUCUCUCUGCUUUCACUUCCCAUCUUGACAUUUAAAGCCUCUGUUCUCUGAGUGACAGUGAUGCUAAUGUUUGUCUUUUGGGGGGCUCCUUUUGAUCCUAGGCUCAGAGAACACUCAAGAUAGUAACAGAUUAAUGCUUUUAAAACCCAAUUUAAAGCAAGAAGGAGCGGGUGCCUGUUUUGUCCUGAAGCCGGAACCAGCGACUCUCCCCUGGGUGACCACCCUGAAGUGGAUGUCAUUUCUGAUCUAAGUGGAAGGGUAAGACAUAAAGGACAACUGGAGUGAGGGUGCGGGAGGCUGUCCCACUCAGACAAUGGUGUUUGUAGCAGAAGCUCUUCUCUGUAAGGGGAAGGUGGACGCACCAGGAUCUUGAUUGUAUUUUCCAGCUGAGUCUUCCUGAUCUGGACAAGUUUUAAAACUUUAGAAUUUUUAGAGCAUUGGUUUGGCAUGAUGGAGCCCACACAUAAUUUAUAUAAAAGUAAUAAACGGUUCAUUUAAGCUUCAGUUACACACAACUCAAUGUAACACUGAGUUUUAAAAAGUGCCAGAAAAUGAUAUACCCUAUGAAAUACUUUUAAUAAAAGCAACUAAAGUGAAACAACUU
Molecule: long non-coding RNA, 1212 nt
Organism: Sapajus apella (tufted capuchin)
Lineage: Eukaryota; Metazoa; Chordata; Mammalia; Primates; Cebidae
Exons: 2
Source: RefSeq, a predicted model, not a curated record